GCCUGGGUGGCUCGGUCGGUUGAGCAUCUGACUCUUGAUUUGGGCUCAUCUCAUGAUCCCAGGGUUGUGGGUUCGAGCCCCGCCUUGGGCU
Molecule: transfer RNA, 91 nt
Filed under: Felis catus (domestic cat)
Lineage: Eukaryota; Metazoa; Chordata; Mammalia; Carnivora; Felidae
Rfam family: tRNA
About the family: Transfer RNA (tRNA) molecules are approximately 80 nucleotides in length. Their secondary structure includes four short double-helical elements and three loops (D, anti-codon, and T loops).
Source: Rfam by way of RNAcentral